RNAcentral lists this ribosomal RNA (791 nucleotides) under uncultured SAR324 cluster bacterium. RNAcentral describes it as "SSU rRNA". It matches the Rfam family "Bacterial small subunit ribosomal RNA", at positions 51 to 870 of the family's 1533-position model. Lineage: Bacteria; Deltaproteobacteria. The record is from RNAcentral.
AUACAUGCAAGUCGAACGAGAAAGUCACUUCGGUGGCGAGUACAGUGGCGCACGGNGUGAGUAACGCGUAGAUAAUCUACCCUUCAGUCUGGGACAACUCUUGGAAACGGGAGCUAAUACCGGAUAAAACCUUUCGGGUUGAAAGAUUUAUCGCUGGGGGAUGAGUCUGCGUACCAUUAGCUUGUUGGUGGGGUAACGGCCUACCAAGGCGACGAUGGUUAGCGGGUCUGAGAGGACGAUCCGCCACACUGGAACUGAGACACGGUCCAGACUCCUACGGGAGGCAGCAGUAGGGAAUAUUGCGCAAUGGGGGCAACCCUGACGCAGCAAUGCCGCGUGAGUGAAGAAGGCCUUCGGGUCGUAAAGCUCUUUUAUGGGGGAAGAUGAUGACGGUACCCCAUGAAUAAGCACCGGCUAACUACGUGCCAGCAGCCGCGGUAAUACGUAGGGUGCGAGCGUUGUUCGGAAUUACUGGGCGUAAAGGGCGUGCAGGCGGAUUGGCAAGCCGGAGGUGAAAGCCCGGGGCUCAACCCCGGAGGGUCUUUCGGAACUGCCAGUCUUGAGAGGGUCAGGGGCCAGCGGAAUUCCUGGUGUAGAGGUGAAAUUCGUAGAGAUCAGGAGGAACACCGGCGGCGAAAGCGGCUGGCUGGGGCCACUCUGACGCUGAGGCGCGAAAGCGUGGGGAGCAAACAGGAUUAGAUACCCUGGUAGUCCACGCCGUAAACGAUGGGCACUAAGCGUCCGACGGGUUCGACCCUGUUGGGUGCUGCAGUUAACGCGUUAAGUNCCCC